CUGCAGCUUUACAUAAACAAGCUGGCAGAAUACAGUCCGAUCAUUUAGCUUCGGGAAGGUUUUGUGGAGGCAAUCAUAAAGAUUGCAUCGCGCUCAAAGGAUUUGUGCUUCUGGACUCAUCAGCUGUGGUUGUACUUGUUGGCAGCUUGCACAUGCAGAGGUGUAGAAUGAGGCUUCUUGGUGUCCGCAGUGUCCUUUUGUCGAAGUGUUUUAAUUGCGUAUGUGUGGAGGCCUGCCUUCCCCCUAUAAAUGAAAUGACCUGGUUGCAGUCAGUCGGAUUACGUCACCUGACGACCUUUCACCUGAGGUCAUCUCUGCCCUAACAGAGCAGCUGUGACCCGGACGUCGCCGACAGACACUCAUCAGAAGGAAUAUUGGGAAUUUAUUUCACUCUGAAAAAAAGAAACAACUGCCGGUCACUGCACAGCCCUGGUUGGCAGCUUGGGACUUCCGUCUGUCUGCUCAGAUGCAGAGGAUCUUUACUUCACUUAAACAAGCCCUACCUUUCUCAAACUGGCUUGUUCAGCGGAAGUGAUGUGUGAAUUCUUUUGCUGAGGAAAUCAAAUGUGUGGGAUCAUUUCCAGAGGCUAAAGGACGACCCCAAGAAGAUGACAUGCAAACUCUGAAGGCAAACAUUCACCUAUCAUUCAUCGACCUCAAACAUGGCUUAUCAUUGGAAGCAUAUAAGUGGUGUGAGUUGUUGAUUUCAUGGGGUAAACUGAAAAUGAAAUUCUCCUUUGGCAGCCCAGUACUUCAUGUUAUCUGUGGACCAGACCAUUGUGAACAGCCACAUCACUGUCUUCAGUGACGCUCUUGUGUUGAUGUUUGGCUCUUACUACUGCAUGAACAUUUCCUACCCAGAAGCCCAAGGAGCAACAUUGGAGUUCUUGCAGAGAUGCCUUUUCAAGAUAAAUCCCGACGAGGAAUCGAAAGUGGAGAGGAAUGCUUCAGAAAGCACCUGGCGGCCCAGUCCAAAGGUUCUUUCCCUGAUAACAAAAAUUGUAGACUAUGAAUCGAGGGAAUAAAAAAAAACAUUCUUCAGAAAAGAAAACAUUGGAGUCUGGUCUCCCUCCUCUCACAUGCACAGUAAUUCAUACCAGUCUCACAUAGUGUUUUCUAAAACACUCACUGUAUUCUUGAGUUUGAGUGUGCGUGAAGUAUUGUCAGAGUGUACCACUGUAACCCAGAUGCAUACUGGUGUAUACUGAUGUAUAUAUGUGAUAAUAACAUAUCCCCUUAUAGGUGACCUAUAUGGCAACAUCACUCUUGAUAUAGGGACAUAUAUGUAAUGUAUUACAUUUCUAUGAAAAUAGAUUUAUUAUCAUCUGCUUAUUGUCAUCAGUUCGUCCCAGACAAAUGUGAUGCGUUUAAGCUGUUUCCAAUGUAUUACACAUUACACCUAUUGUAUUGUCUUCCAACUGCAUGUGUCACAUGACUACUUUGGUUCAAUCAUGAUCAUUGAGUGAUCACGCCUGUGGUAAAAGUAAGGCCACUUUAAUUAACUCAAGAUGGAUAAUAACCCUGAGACUGCAGACAAGUCAGCAGUGUAGGAUCUGAAAGGUCCAACUGAACUCACCAUUCAUCAUCCACCAUUCAGAAACAGAGCCAGACCCAUGAAUCAGCCUGGCCGAUAUAUGGGCCAACAUUCGCAUAUUGCACAUACAUUGUAUUUACAGUAUGAGGGCUGAUGAGUAAUUGGAAAUUACUGUACAGAAGUGCCUAAAUAUGUUUUAGGUAAUGUAGAAACAGUGUCUCCAUUUACUGAGAGCACUGACAAAUUGUCCUUACGAGGAAACAGUAUCGGCUGGAAAAAUCCACGCCAUUGACUAUAGUCAGAAAAAAGGUUAAUCUAUUAUUAAUAUUUAUAAUUAUUAUUAUUGUUAUUUUAUAAAAGAGGAGAAAAAGGUCUUGUUGGGUCUGUCAGAGGACCAUUGAUUAACAGAGCUGAGCAGUGUGUUGCAGCAGGGAAAAAAAGCAUGCAUUUUAAUUGAAGUCGGACUUUAAUCUAUAUGUAAAGUAUGGUGUAUAUGCAUAAUAUAUGCAAAAGUAGAAUAAAAAUAUCAAAAGCAGAUAGUGUUAAGUACUUAGUAGUGCUAAGCACAACGAUCUCUAUCAGUAUGAUGCUGGUAGAAAAAAAUAAAGCGCAGAGUACACUGUCAUAAUGAGCAGUGUGUCAGCUUGCAUACAUGGCUUUUUAUCUUUUAAUGUAGACUGCAUUAAAUCAUCUUGCACAUGUGCUCCUUUUAUAUUGUAAUGGGAAACCUGCAAGUGUAUAUUUAGUUUGUGUCUUCCUGCAUGUACAGUACAUUCAUUCUCCAGUCUGUCAUAUCAUUCCUCCUCUGCGAAAAACCUUUUUUGUGCGGUGUUCUGACCUUUCCAUUAUGAGUUUUUUUGUGUCACAUCAGGACUAUAGCGCCUUAGACAUAAUUGUUUCUGAGGAGCCAAAUAAGAUUUCAAUCCAAAUUCACAAACAUUCUCAAUGCGUUUGACUUGCUGAUGGAAAAACAAACUCGUCAUAGGCUUCACAACACAUCAUAUCCCAAAUAUAUUUCCGUCAGAGUCUGAGCCAUUCACACCCUCAAAUACAUGGGAAACUUAUGUUUAGCUGUCACAUACUGUCAGUCCGGCUGUCGCGGGAUUUUAGAAGUGUGCAAAUACAAAGAUAAAUAUGAAAGUGUAUGUGUGGGGCGAAUAAUGAAGGGUUUGCUGUAACUGUCAGACUCUCACAGAUCACAGCGUGCAUACAGGAGAUUAUUCCUGGGGAAGUGACAUGUCGAUGACGUGCAAAUCUGUAUACACAAUUACUAUUAUACAGACUUCAAGGGGACAGUGGGAGUCAUAAAUCUCCAAGAAUGCGGUCACAUUCAGGAAAAACAGUCGAUUGAUUUUAUGCUCGGCAACAUUUCAAACGUUUUUAUUUAAAGUUUAAUUAUUUCAAAAGAGACAGAUGAGGUAUGAGAAUAGAGAAAAAUACUGUAACACAAUUCAAAUAAUGUACUGAUAUUACAAUUUCCCAUUUUAGCUGACAGUGGCUACUGUGCUCCUCAAAGUGAUUGUAGCUGUUACUGAAAAUUGUGACGUAUAGCCACACUAUAACCUGUGUAAUUUUAACAAUAAAAGCCUAUGAAUUAAUAGUCUUAUAUGAAAAUUUAGCCCACCAAUAAAGCCUGCAAGUUGAUGGUAUUCAAGGUGACACUAGCGAAUUUUGGAAACCCAUAACAAUUUAAAGUAAUCAAGAGCGACGAUGGUUUCUAAAAAUAUUUUUAGACCCAUUAUUGUGAGGUAAUGAUUUAUAUAAUGAAUCCUAACGCUCAAGAUAUCCAAGAUUAUCUAAUUAUCUAAUCAAUUAUAACACAAUGGCAGUUUUUUGUUCAGGCGUAUUUAUUUUAUCCACUUUCUGGUGAUCAAACCAAAUUAGGAAGUACAGAAGACUGCUAUGCCACAGACCAUUUCAUUUUAAUUUAAGAUGUGAUCUUUAGGAAAUAAUAUUUAAUUCCUCAAGAUAACGUCAUUAAAUUUUUAUCUCGGGAUAACAGUAACUAUAAAGUCAAUAUCCGCUCUCACCUGGAAGACUACGUAACAUACAUAAUAACAGAAGCAAAAUGUCACUGAAAUGCCAAAUCCUUGUAACUAAUUAAGAGAAAGUGUGAUUAAUUUAAUUUUACUGCCUCCCUCACAUCACAUCACACACACGUUCAAAAAGUUUGACAAGAAUAAUAUAAAAUACUUCCUGUUGUUGGGUUGUUCUCCUGAAUUAUCAUUGCAUACUUUUGUUUUUAAAAAAAAAGCACAAAUUCUUGCGUGAAUAUUACAGUUUUGGAUUGACUUUUAAAACCUGCAGUGACGCACAUUUUAACAUACUGUAUCUACUUCUGUCAUGCCUGCCCUGAGCUUUAAAUUACAUUAUAAGAAUGAAACGUUCUGCAAAGAUGCUUCUGUGAGUCUGAGACCCAAAAAGUGCCUGUCAGAACUUUACAGAGCUCAUUAGAUUUUGCUUUUAAAUUUUUAAAAACCUGUCCAAUAAAAUAUGCAUGAAGUA
Seriola aureovittata is the source of this 4039-nucleotide long non-coding RNA. RefSeq lists it as uncharacterized. The transcript has 7 exons. Lineage: Eukaryota; Metazoa; Chordata; Actinopteri; Carangiformes; Carangidae. The record is from RefSeq and is a predicted model, not a curated record.